Molecule: ribosomal RNA, 723 nt
Filed under: Lutibacter sp.
Lineage: Bacteria; Pseudomonadati; Bacteroidota; Flavobacteriia; Flavobacteriales; Flavobacteriaceae
Description: bacterial SSU rRNA
Rfam family: Bacterial small subunit ribosomal RNA
Source: RNAcentral
GAUGAACGCUAGCGGCAGGCUUAACACAUGCAAGUCGAGGGGUAACAGGGAAGAGCUUGCUUUUCCGCUGACGACCGGCGCACGGGUGAGUAACGCGUAUAGAACCUACCUUUUACAGGGGAAUAGCCCAGAGAAAUUUGGAUUAAUGCCCUAUAGUAUUAUUGAAUGGCAUCAUUUAGUAAUUAAACAUUUAUGGGUAAAAGAUGGCUAUGCGUUCUAUUAGCUAGAUGGUAAGGUAACGGCUUACCAUGGCAACGAUAGAUAGGGGUCCUGAGAGGGAGAUCCCCCACACUGGUACUGAGACACGGACCAGACUCCUACGGGAGGCAGCAGUGAGGAAUAUUGGACAAUGGAGGCAACUCUGAUCCAGCCAUGCCGCGUGCAGGAAGACGGCCCUAUGGGUUGUAAACUGCUUUUAUACGGGAAGAAACCCAACUACGUGUAGUUGGCUGACGGUACCGUAAGAAUAAGCACCGGCUAACUCCGUGCCAGCAGCCGCGGUAAUACGGAGGGUGCAAGCGUUAUCCGGAAUCAUUGGGUUUAAAGGGUCCGUAGGCGGGCUAAUAAGUCAGGGGUGAAAUCCAACAGCUUAACUGUUGAACUGCCUUUGAUACUGUUAGUCUUGAAUUAUAUGGAAGUAGAUAGAAUGUGUAGUGUAGCGGUGAAAUGCUUAGAGAUUACACAGAAUACCGAUUGCGAAGGCAGUCUACUACGUAUAUAUGA